This is a long non-coding RNA of Esox lucius (northern pike), 1672 nucleotides long. The record is from Ensembl. Lineage: Eukaryota; Metazoa; Chordata; Actinopteri; Esociformes; Esocidae.
CAGAUGCCCCCUAACCUCUGCCGACUCCCACUAUGGUAAGAGACAUGACCCCCCCAUUAUACACCCCCAUUACCACAGAACACACUCACAGAGACAUGACCCCCCCAUUACCACAGAAUACACUCACAGAGACAUGACCCCCCCAUUACUACAGAACACACUCACAGAGACAUGACCCCCAUUACCACAGAACACACUCACAGAGACAUGACCCCAAUUACCACAGAAUACACUCACAGAGGCAUGACCCCAAUUACCACAGAAUACACACACAGAGACAUGACCCCCCCAUUACCACAGAACACACUCACAGAGACAUGACCCCCCCAUUACCACAGAAUACACUCACAGAGACAUGACCCCCAUUACCACAGAACACACUCACAGAGACAUGACCCCCAUUACCACAGAAUACACUCACAGAGACAUGACCCCCAUUACCACAGAACACACUCACAGAGACAUGACCCCCAUUACCACAGAAUACACUCACAGAGACAUGACCCCCAUUACCACAGAAUACACUCACAGAGACAUGACUCCCAUUACCACAGAAUACACUCACAGAGGCAUGACCCCCAUUACCACAGAAUACACUCACAGAGACAUGACCCCCAUUACCACAGAAUACACUCACAGAGACAUGACCCCCAUUACCACAGAACACACUCACAGAGACAUGACCCCCAUUACCACAGAAUACACUCACAGAGACAUGACCCCCAUUACCACAGAAUACACUCACAGAGACAUGACCCCCAUUACCACAGAAUACACUCACAGAGACAUGACCCCCAUUACCACAGAAUACACUCACAGAGGCAUGACCCCCCCGUUACCACAGAACACACUCACAGAGACAUGCCCCCCCCCCCCAUGGCCCCCAUUAUACCCCCACGUUACCACACUCAAACUUAGUUCGACCAUAAAAGGUCCCAGGCAUGGUUGGCAGCGCCCCUCCAGAACCUCCAGAACCUGUAACCAUGGUUCUCCAGGAGGUGUCGAGGAACCUGGUCCCAGGUCACUAGUGGUGUUGGUCUCAGUUGGCUUUGUUGAGAUACACUAGCGUUUAUUGCAGAUAAUGGUGUUGUAAAGGAAUUUCAGGGAGACGAUUGGCCUGCGAGGGUUCCAAAUGACCCCCUAUUCUCUUUCAUGGUGGUACGUGGGUCUCAUUCUCCUGUGAUCGUGGUCAUCCUACUGAAAUGACACUCCUAAAUGUUAAUGGCACACAAAAACACAAAGUUACAUUUCUGUACAUUAAUUCUGUUUGUGUUUGAGAGUGUGUGUGUAUUGAUGUGUGUGUGUACUGAAUGGUGUAAACAUGUGAUCCUAUUUAGGAGUUUCACUGCAUUAUUGAGAUCUGUAGGGAAAUCAUUUACACCUGCCGCUUCAUAUUCAAAUAAAUAUGGAAACUUGACACUUGUGCAUCCAAAUUAAUAACCUCUUUAACCAAUGUGUGUUGGUGUGUUCAGUCAGAAUCAGAUUACUAACCUCUGGAACCAAUGUGUGUUGGUGUGUUCAGUCAGAAUCAGAUUACUAACCUCUGGAACCAAUGUGUGUUGGUGUGUUCAGUCAGAAUCAGAUUACUAAACUCUGUAACCAAUGUGUGUUGGUGUGUUCAGUCAGAAUCAGAUUACUAACCUCUGUAACCAAUGUGUGUUGGUGUGUUCAG